This is a long non-coding RNA of Saccostrea echinata, 1479 nucleotides long. RefSeq lists it as uncharacterized. The transcript is spliced from 6 exons. The record is from RefSeq and is a predicted model, not a curated record. NCBI's taxonomy places the organism in Eukaryota, Metazoa, Mollusca, Bivalvia, Ostreida, Ostreidae.
GAAAUAGAAAUUUCGGUCGUCAGCAUAAUUCCAAAUUCUAAAACGUUUAGUCAAAGUCCAAGCAAUAUAUUUUCAUGAUGCUGUUUGGACAAGUUUACCACAAAGUGUUACAUCUCAGGAAAACUUGCCUUGUAGAGGGAAAGUCAGAUUGUCCGUGUUUCUCUCUAGGAACCAUUUAAUAUCAUCAUAGAGAAGAAUACUAGGCCAAAUUCAUGCUGUAUUCUCUGACUAUAGAAAAUCUGCCAGGGAAAAGUUUUUCCACUGAUCAUCUUUCCCAUGCAGUGGAGAUGGUCUGCCAUGAAGGGUCCUUGAAAAUGGAUCAAAGUAUCUUCACCAAGUGAUAAGUCUGUGUAAAAUACCAAAUGAUAUAGGAUAAAGUGCCAGAAAUUGGAGUCAACAGAAAUGAGAAUUCUACAGAGUAUUUGACAAGGCACUGUUGUUAAGUGCUAGACUACAAGUUAAUUAACUGUCAGAGACGACACCAGUCACUAGCAUAAAGAAGGACCAGAGAGGCUUUUGUUGGAGGGAGACAGUCAUUUUAAAAACCUGAGAGCCAUGUGACAUUGAACGAGAAUUUUAGUUUUAUGAACACUGAAAGGUGUAAAAAUACUUGAUUGAGUCAUCAAAUGUAAACAUUUUACGAUGCAUUUUGCUCUUGCAACUUAAAAUGGAAACCUUUGAAGUGAUUUGUAAUAACAUAUUUUUAUCUUUGCAGAAUAAAUUAUAUAUCUUUUAAAAUGAAAUGAAUUCCUUGUUUUGUUUGGAAACAGGAAGUAUUUUUCAGGUGAAUUAUAUCAUAACCUUUUGUUUUGAUUGAUAUCAACAUGCUAAAAAAUAUGAAUAUUUAACACAUUGGAAACAAUAAAUGCAUCAAAAAGAUGUUUGUGGUUUUUUGCCAAAACUUUUGUUUAAUUUCACAAAAAAACUCUUGUUUGCAGACAUUUGCAAUUCCCAGUUUGACGGAUUUUUGAUUGUGAAAUAUGAAUAUUUAUUAAUCUUCUGACACCUGAUAUUAAAUGUUUUGUGGUGUACAUAUAACCAUUACCCGCCCCAAGUUCUCUUCGUCUAGGUAUGGUUAUGUCCUUGUAAACAUUUUAAUUAAAUAAGUGUUAUAUGACUCAUUGCUCCCCACUGCAUAAUGACAAACCUUUAAAAAGAUUUCUUUUGUUCAAAAAUAGAGCAAUUUAUUUUAUCAUUCUUAUAAUAUUACUCAGUUUUAUUUACAAAUACCUUUUCAUUUUGAUUUAACAGCAAGUGACAUUUUCAAUUUUUUAAACAAGAUGCAAUUAAUUCUUUAAGAAGGACAAAAAAAUAUAUUGAAAGUUUCGGAUUUGUAGGAAUUUCCCAGAUAAAAUUCAUUUCUCAAAGCAGACUUUUUGUAUUAAAUGUAAUGUGUUUCUCAUGCAUGAACAUUAUAUGGCUCUGUCUAAUAUGAAGUAGUAUUCUCAUCGUAAUUCACAUCAGGAUGUUCCAGUGAAA